Molecule: ribosomal RNA, 465 nt
Filed under: uncultured bacterium
Lineage: Bacteria
Description: partial 16S ribosomal RNA
Rfam family: Bacterial small subunit ribosomal RNA
Source: RNAcentral
GACGAACGCUGGCGGCGUGCUUAACACAUGCAAGUCGUACGGUAAGGCCCUUUCGGGGGUACACGAGUGGCGUACGGGUGAGUAACACGUGAGUAACCUGCCCACAACUUUGGGAUAACGCUAGGAAACUGGUGCUAAUACUGGAUAUGUGCUCCUGCUGCAUGGUGGGGGUUGGAAAGCUCCGGCGGUUGUGGAUGGACUCGCGGCCUAUCAGCUUGUUGGUGGGGUAGUGGCCUACCAAGGCGGCGACGGGUAGCCGGCCUGAGAGGGUGACCGGCCACAUUGGGACUGAGAUACGGCCCAGACUCCUACGGGAGGCAGCAGUGGGGAAUAUUGCACAAUGGGCGCAAGCCUGAUGCAGCAACGCCGCGUGCGGGAUGACGGCCUUCGGGUUGUAAACCGCUUUCAGCAGGGACGAAGCUUUUUGUGACGGUACCUGCAGAAGAAGCACCGGCUAACUACGUG